This 301-nucleotide ribosomal RNA is filed under the name uncultured bacterium. RNAcentral's name for it is "partial 16S ribosomal RNA". It matches the Rfam family "Bacterial small subunit ribosomal RNA", at positions 509 to 807 of the family's 1533-position model. The record is from RNAcentral.
CAGUCGCCGCGGGAAUACGAAGGGUGCAAGCGUUAAUCGGAAUUACUGGGCGUAAAGCGUGCGUAGGCGGUGAGUUAAGUCUGCUGUGAAAUCCCCGGGCUCAACCUGGGAACUGCAUCCAAAACUGGCGAGCUAGAGUAUGGUAGAGGGUGGUGGAAUUUCCUGUGUAGCGGUGAAAUGCGUAGAUAUAGGAAGGAACAUCAGUGGCGAAGGCGACCACCUGGACUGAUACUGACACUGAGGUGCGAAAGCGUGGGGAGCAAACAGGAUUAGAUACCCCCGUAGUCCCUGUCUCUUAUAC